AAGAACGCUGGCGGCGUGCCUAACACAUGCAAGUCGAGCGCGAAUGGAGCAAUCCUAGUAGAGCGGCGCACGGGUGAGUAACACGUGGGUAAUCUGCCUGGAAGUCCGGGACAACCUGCCGAAAGGCUGGCUAAUACCGAAUAAGCCCACAGGGUCUUCGGACCCCGAGGGAAAAGAUGGCCUCUGCAUGCAAGCUAUCACUUCCAGAUGAGCCCGCGACCCAUCAGCUAGUUGGCGGGGUAAUGGCCCACCAAGGCAACGACGGGUAGCUGGUCUGAGAGGACGAUCAGCCACACUGGAACUGAGACACGGUCCAGACUCCUACGGGAGGCAGCAGUGGGGAAUUUUGCGCAAUGGGCGAAAGCCUGACGCAGCAACGCCGCGUGUGUGAUGAAGGUCUUCGGAUCGUAAAGCACUUUCGACUGGGACGAAAACCCGCUGGCUAACAUCCAGCGGUCUGACGGUACCGGGAGAAGAAGC
RNAcentral lists this ribosomal RNA (480 nucleotides) under uncultured bacterium. RNAcentral describes it as "bacterial SSU rRNA". It matches the Rfam family "Bacterial small subunit ribosomal RNA", at positions 31 to 491 of the family's 1533-position model. The record is from RNAcentral.